RNAcentral lists this ribosomal RNA (503 nucleotides) under uncultured bacterium. RNAcentral's name for it is "partial 16S ribosomal RNA". It matches the Rfam family "Bacterial small subunit ribosomal RNA", at positions 899 to 1397 of the family's 1533-position model. The record is from RNAcentral.
ACUCAAAUGAAUUGACGGGGGCCCGCACAAGCGGUGGAGCAUGUGGUUUAAUUCGAAGCAACGCGCAGAACCUUACCCGGUCUUGACAUCCGGAGAAUCCCGCGGAAACGUGGGAGUGCCCCCUCACGGGGGAGCUUCGAGACAGGUGCUGCAUGGCUGUCGUCAGCUCGUGCUGUGAGGUGUUCGGUUAAGUCCGGCAACGAGCGCAACCCCUAUCGUUAGUUACCAUCAUUAAGUUGGGGACUCUAGCGAGACUGCCGGUGACAAACCGGAGGAAGGUGGGGAUGACGUCAAGUCCUCAUGGCCCUUAUGACCGGGGCUACACACGUGCUACAAUGGCAUCUACAAAGGGCUGCGAAGUCGCGAGGCGGAGCAAAUCCCAAAAAAGAUGUCUCAGUUCGGAUUGGAGUCUGCAACUCGACUCCAUGAAGCUGGAAUCGCUAGUAAUCGCGGAUCAGCACGCCGCGGUGAAUACGUUCCCGGGCCUUGCACACACCGCCCGU